This 253-nucleotide ribosomal RNA is filed under the name uncultured bacterium. RNAcentral's name for it is "partial 16S ribosomal RNA". It matches the Rfam family "Bacterial small subunit ribosomal RNA", at positions 524 to 776 of the family's 1533-position model. The record is from RNAcentral.
UACGGAGGAUGCAAGCGUUAUCCGGAAUGAUUGGGCGUAAAGCGUCCGCAGGUGGCUAUGUAAGUCUGCUGUUAAAGAGUGAGGCUCAACCUCAUAAGAGCAGUGGAAACUACAUGGCUAGAGUGCGUUCGGGGCAGAGGGAAUUCCUGGCGUAGCGGUGAAAUGCGUAGAGAUCAGGAAGAACACCGGUGGCGAAAGCGCUCUGCUAGGCCGCAACUGACACUCAUGGACGAAAGCUAGGGGAGCGAAUGGG